CAUGCUCGAGCAUCGAACUGCGGAAUCGCGAUCCUUUCAAUCCAAGCCCAUCUGCGUCCUGGAUGCUGACGGGCAAACAUGGGGUUCCUGUGCUGCAUACCCACAUGAGUGGAAUUCGAACGUGCUGCUGACCGUCUUUCGCCUUGUGCUCUUUAUAGGGCAUGUGGUGAACACAGCGGCGGCUCCUGUGGCCCAAACAUGUCGCUUCGGCUGUUGAGGCCCACGGGAAGUCGCUCGUGCUCUAGGAUGCGGAACUUUAAGCGUGGCAGAGGGAUCCAUUCCCUCGAUCAGCCCCAUGUCCCUAACGUAUAAACGACAGAAACGCUCGUUUCGAGGCCUUGGCAUGCUGCAACGUUGGUUGCUGGGGCCUUGUGCGGGCGUUGAUGUCCCGAAGGAAUGC
Molecule: unclassified non-coding RNA, 400 nt
Filed under: Caryodendron janeirense
Lineage: Eukaryota; Viridiplantae; Streptophyta; Magnoliopsida; Malpighiales; Euphorbiaceae
Description: partial external transcribed spacer
Source: RNAcentral